Molecule: ribosomal RNA, 482 nt
Filed under: uncultured bacterium
Lineage: Bacteria
Description: bacterial SSU rRNA
Rfam family: Bacterial small subunit ribosomal RNA
Source: RNAcentral
GAUCAUGGCUCAGGAUGAACGCUGGCGGCGUGCUUAACACAUGCAAGUCGAACGAAGACAUCUGAGUGCUUGCACUUGGAUGGACUGAGUGGCGGACGGGUGAGUAACGCGUGGGUAACCUGCCUUAUACAGGGGGAUAACAGUUGGAAACGACUGCUAAUACCGCAUAAGCGCACGGUAUCGCAUGAUACAGUGUGAAAAACUCCGGUGGUAUAAGAUGGACCCGCGUCUGAUUAGCUAGUUGGUGAGGUAACGGCCCACCAAGGCGACGAUCGGUAGCCGGACUGAGAGGUUGAACGGCCACAUUGGGACUGAGACACGGCCCAGACUCCUACGGGAGGCAGCAGUGGGGAAUAUUGCACAAUGGGGGAAACCCUGAUGCAGCGACGCCGCGUGGAGGAAGAAGGUCUUCGGAUUGUAAACUCCUGUUGUUGAGGAAGAUAAUGACGGUACUCAACGAGGGAGUGACGGCUAACUACGUG